This 491-nucleotide ribosomal RNA is filed under the name uncultured bacterium. Its description in RNAcentral is "bacterial SSU rRNA". It matches the Rfam family "Bacterial small subunit ribosomal RNA", at positions 16 to 507 of the family's 1533-position model. The record is from RNAcentral.
AUCCUGGCUCAGGAUGAACGCUGGCGGCGUGCUUAACACAUGCAAGUCGAACGAAGCACUUACAAUUGAUUCUUCGGAUGAAAGAGUUUGUGACUGAGUGGCGGACGGGUGAGUAACGCGUGGGUAACCUGCCUCAUACAGGGGGAUAACAGUUAGAAAUGACUGCUAAUACCGCAUAAGCGCACAGUACCGCAUGGUACGGUGUGAAAAACUCCGGUGGUAUGAGAUGGACCCGCGUCUGAUUAGCUAGUUGGUGGGGUAACGGCUCACCAAGGCAACGAUCAGUAGCCGGCCUGAGAGGGUGAACGGCCACAUUGGGACUGAGACACGGCCCAAACUCCUACGGGAGGCAGCAGUGGGGAAUAUUGCACAAUGGGGGAAACCCUGAUGCAGCGACGCCGCGUGAGCGAUGAAGUAUUUCGGUAUGUAAAGCUCUAUCAGCAGGGAAGAAAAUGACGGUACCUGACUAAGAAGCACCGGCUAAAUACGUG